Non-coding RNA from Microcebus murinus (gray mouse lemur), 1678 nucleotides. The record is from RefSeq and is a predicted model, not a curated record. Lineage: Eukaryota; Metazoa; Chordata; Mammalia; Primates; Cheirogaleidae.
UCACAAUAUUCACAAUCUUAAAAAUUCAACUUUUACAAGGUCCAACAGUUAGUUCACAGGCAAACCCAGAGGUGGACUGUUAAUGCUUGUGAUUACAACUCACUUCAGUCACAUCCCUCAGAGUGAUGCAACAAUGGAUGAUCAUUACUGUGAACUGCAAAUCAUGGCUGCCAACAUCAGUGGGCAGAAGAAAACAUGACAGUGACUACAGAAGGAGGAGCACAGACAUGGCCUAGAAAGGAAUUCCUUCAGUAUGAGAGAGACAGUGGUCUAUGCAGAUACUACCUGAGUUCAAAGGGCACAGAGAUCCGAUUAAGAAAGGGUGUAUUUGCAUGAACGUCUGAGAUGCUGUUGUGGAAUAAUAUGCUUAGUCAUCAACUACCAAAAAUGCCAUCUUGGUUGAACGAACGGCUUGUGGAAGUCCUGCUGCCUUGGGUAGGGGUUAAAAAUUGUUCUUGAGAAGAACGUCUUUGUCCGAAGAGAAAAUGAGUUUAGCUCUGAGAAGCGAGCUUGUAGUAGACAAAACUAAGAGGAAAAAAAGAAGAGAACUCACUGAGGCACAGAAACAAGAAAUUAAAGAUGCUUUUGAGUUAUUUGAUACAGACAAAGAUGAAGCAAUAGAUUAUCAUGAAUUAAAGGUGGCAAUGAGAGCCUUGGGGUUUGAUGUAAAAAAGGCUGAUGUACUGAAGAUUCUUAAAGAUUAUGACAGAGAAGCCACAGGGAAAAUCACCUUUGAAGAUUUUAAUGAAGUUGUGACAGACUGGAUAUUGGAAAGAGAUCCACAUGAAGAAAUACUGAAGGCAUUUAAACUAUUUGAUGAUGAUGAUUCAGGUAAAAUCAGCUUGAGGAAUUUGCGGCACGUUGCCAGAGAAUUGGGUGAAAACAUGAGUGAUGAAGAACUCCGAGCUAUGAUAGAAGAAUUUGAUAAAGAUGGUGAUGGAGAAAUAAAUCAAGAGGAGUUCAUUGCUAUUAUGACUGGUGACGUUUAAAAAAUUGCAAGGAUAAACACUAAGAAUGUUGCAGUUACCAUCUUAUAUUCUAUUUUUGUGCCUGGAGCCAUGUAAAAAAAGAAACUAACUUUGUUGUUUUUUUCCAAAAGGACCAAAAAUACGCAUCUUGUGUAUUUGUAUUUUACUACUGUUAAGUUUCUUUGUAUGAACUGUGUUAUUAGUACUCAAAUAGUUUAGCUUUGUAUUUAUAAUACAGCUUUUAUAUAAAGUUUUAAAAAAAUUGAAAAAAAAUGCCAUCUUGCAGCAGAACAAGGGGCUUACAUGACUCUAAAUUGCCAAUAGCUGGGAGAAUGGGUCAACUUUAUGAAUGCAGUUAAAGUAAUGCCACAAGCUUUAUAGGAAAUUAGUGUUUGUUUGUAUUCUGUUCUCUGAGCUGACACUGGUGUCAGUGUAAACAUCCACAUUCAUAACAUCCCAUAAACCUGCAGUCCCCGACCCCCAGGCUGCAGCCUGGUAAGGGUCCAUGACCUGUUAGGAAACAGGCUGCACAUCACCACCUGAGCUCAAUAACCCCUCCCCCCGACAUGACACCCUACUCUCUCUACCCCUGGUCCAUAGAAAAACUGUCUUCCAUGAAACCAGUCCCUGGUGCCAAAAAGGUUGGGGACCACUGCCAUAAACUAAGUGGGAAUCAUAAUCUUGGUUGUCACACUUGUGUAUUAUUUUUA